UACAGAGGUCUCAAGCGUUGUUCGGAUUCAUUGGGCGUAAAGGGCGCGUAGGCGGCACUGUUAGUCAGGCGUGAAAGUCCUGGGCUCAACCUGGGAACUGCGCUUGAUACGGCAGAGCUAGAGGAUGGAAGAGGCUCGCGGAAUUCCCAGUGUAGAGGUGAAAUUCGUAGAUAUUGGGAAGAACACCGGUGGCGAAGGCGGCGAGCUGGUCCAUUACUGACGCUGAGGCGCGACAGCGUGGGGAGCAAACAGG
This 253-nucleotide ribosomal RNA is filed under the name uncultured bacterium. RNAcentral describes it as "partial 16S ribosomal RNA". It matches the Rfam family "Bacterial small subunit ribosomal RNA", at positions 524 to 776 of the family's 1533-position model. The record is from RNAcentral.